Molecule: ribosomal RNA, 301 nt
Filed under: uncultured bacterium
Lineage: Bacteria
Description: partial 16S ribosomal RNA
Rfam family: Bacterial small subunit ribosomal RNA
Source: RNAcentral
CAGUCGCCACGGGAAUACGGAGGGUGCAAGCGUUAAUCGGAAUUACUGGGCGUAAAGCGUGCGUAGGCGGUGAGUUAAGUCUGCUGUGAAAUCCCCGGGCUCAACCUGGGAAUGGCAGUGGAUACUGGCUCGCUAGAGUGUGUCAGAGGAUGGUGGAAUUCCCGGUGUAGCGGUGAAAUGCGUAGAGAUCGGGAGGAACAUCAGUGGCGAAGGCGGCCAUCUGGGACAACACUGACGCUGAGGCACGAAAGCGUGGGGAGCAAACAGGAUUAGAGACCCCUGUAUCCCUGUCUCUUAUACA